Malaclemys terrapin pileata is the source of this 2763-nucleotide long non-coding RNA. RefSeq lists it as uncharacterized. The record is from RefSeq and is a predicted model, not a curated record. The transcript has 2 exons. NCBI's taxonomy places the organism in Eukaryota, Metazoa, Chordata, Testudines, Emydidae.
UAAAAGGAUACAAUAUAAACAAAAUGAAUUUAUGUAUAUAUUUUAAUUCUGGUUCUAUGAACCCAUCUUGGAAUUUCUUGCACUUUCACAGAGGUAUUUGUAUGGACCAAUACCAUGACCUGAUUUCCCUUCUGUACGUCCGCUCCAGAGGGGGUCUCUGGAGGGUCCUGGGCUUAAGAGGGUGCACUUCUACAAGGAACCAGUAUGCCUUGCUGAAGUAAAGAGUAAAUAAUAUUACGUCCCGUGUCCGUGGCCUCAGAUUUGAGGGAGGAUUGCUUGGUAGGUGGAGGAAAUUGACUGGUAACUUGGAUGGGUGGGCAAUGAUGAGCAGGCAUUGAACUGCAAGACAGCUUAUUUUCUGCCCAAACAGAUGGGAACCUGGAACAUAAUUAUUGAAAAAGGAUUAGAUGUAUCUCAAGUAAGAGCCACAGAUUUGGCAGUGCAACAGAAAAGAGAAAUGUAUCAUUGUGGAGGGGGAUGGCAUGAGUACGCAUAAGUUUAUCAGUAACUGUACUCUGAGCAAGAUUGAGAGUUGCUGCAAGGUCACAGAGGACGUCCAUGACCAGAAUAGUCCCCUCUGCAUUUGGAGCUAUAUAAGAGGAUUGGGUCCAAAAUAAUAGAUUAGAUUCUACAAGAACAGGAUAGCUUUUAUAAGCCAUGAGUUGUGCACCUCCUACCCCUGAAAUAGAAAUAUACUGUUUAGUAGUGGGGAGGGGGAGGUCAGUAAUGGAAACAGACGCUUGCGUGUCCAUGAGAACUGUGCAUGGCUGGGCCCUUAUCCAUGCUUGUAAGUAUGGCCUCGGGGGAUUUAUACCUAGCGGGUCAUGGCAUUUAAAAGCCUGGCCAUUUCCUCUUGUGAGUAAGGGUUGGCAGUCAGUUGAGACACCUGGUGGGGCUGUUGUUGGUUACCCAGGGUUAUUCAGUUUGGACACCCGGCUGCCCAAUGUCCGGUCUCUCCACACACAAAACACUGGAAGGGGGGACAGUGGGGGCAGUACCAGGACUAGGUCAAAAAGGCAGUGAAGUACUGCAGGGAUUCAACUGGCUGUGAUUCUGUCCCUGACUAGGCUUUUGGGUUUUGCGCCUGCGUUUUUUUUGGGUAUGCCCAAGAUGCCCACAAUUAUAGCAAAACUGACUCCCGCUUGCUUUGCCGCUUCCCUACUGCUACCAGUGUGCAGAGUUAGGCCUAACUAGAUAUGGUGGUUGCCGGGAUGGCCUCAACCCACCGCCCGCCUCGCUGAUCGGUCUCCGUGGGACACAACGGUACCCUGCUGACAGACCACCGCGGUCUUGCCCAUGAAUUCCCUGACCAGUGGCCGUUCCAGGAGUCACUCGUACUUGGUCAUGGCAAGCCCACUCAACCGCCUUGGCCGAGAGUCCCUUUUUAACAAAAAUCACUUUGACUCCGCAGGGAAUCAAUCACCCUAUGGCAGCCAGCUAUCCAACUGUGGGUUGUGGUGGCAUUACUGCCAUCAGGCCUUGCAGCCUAUCCACCGAUCUCUGUCCCCACGUGCGCUGUGGCACAGAGACCCAACCAUGCAACCAUUGGGUUGCAGUCACAGUCAGCAAAAUAAAAAGGGCCAAAACAAACUAAAAAUGGGGUCCUGCCGUGGUCACCAAACUGUUGAAACCAAUCUAGAGGAACGUCCCCAUACCUGCAUCUAUCAUCAGGGUUUGUUAUUAGCCCCUUUAAAAAAAAUAACUAAGUAGGAUGUGUGGGUGAAAACAACCAAGGUAUUUAUUAAACCAUCAACAGCUCUAAACAAGGUAAACCAAAUGAUUAGGAACACAGGUGUGACGUUAUUGACACAAACUGGGACCGUAUAGAUGAUUGUUGCAACCAAGGUCCUGUAGUGGCACCAAAUAGUGUAUAAAGGAGGUCAAAUAAGGCGUCUAAGACAAGGUUAUGAUCUGCUGGUUAUAAUUAUGCUAUCUGUAUGCAUGUAUCAAUUUUGUAGUUGAAAUUAUGAAUAUUGGUUAUGUACUUGUAUCUCAAUGUGUUUGUCAGCUUCUUGAGAAAGGAAUUUGCAGAUUAAGUGCCCAAUCAAGAAACACUUAACAGACAAUGGACCUUGGGAGACUCCAAUCCACAUGAGAAAUCUUCCUGGGAACAUUCGGGUAGCAUGUGAGCAAUGGCUGCUCUCCCUGUAAAGUCAUGCAUGGACAUGUGACUUGCCCAUGUGACUCCAAACUCCAUCUUGCUGCUCUGAUUUUCCACAGUAAGAACAAAGGGGUGUCCUUCCACCUGGCAGAGGAUAUAAAAGGCCCUGGAAACCCUUCCAUUUUGUCUUCAAUCCUGCUUCUUACCUCUGGAGGAACUUUGCUACAAACUGAAGCUCUGAACAAAGGACUGAAUGACCCAUCCCAGCUGUGGAUGUACUCCAGAGACUUGAUUUGAACCUGCAGGUUAUUCCAUCACUGCUACAAGCCUGAACCAAGAACUUUGCCAUUACUUAAAAACAAAGGAGUGUCCUUCCACGGGCAGAGAAAAGGCCCUGAAAAACCCUCCAUUUUGUCUUCAAUCCUGCUUCUGAGCUCUGGAGGAAUCUUGCUACAAACUGAAGCUCUGAACAAAGGACUGAAUGACCCAUCCCAGCUGUGGAUGUACUCCAGAGACUUGAUUUGAACCUGCAGUUUAUUCCACCAGUGCCUAAACCAAGAACUUUGCCAUUACUGUAUGUAAUUGAUUCCAUUUAACCAAUUCUAGCUCUCAUCUAUAUCUUUUUCCUUUUAUGAAUAAACCUUUAGAUUUUAGAUUCUAAA